GACGAACGCUGGCGGCAUGCCUAAUACAUGCAAGUCGAGCGAAUUGAUGAGAAAAGCUUGCUUUUCUCUGAUGUUAGCGGCGGACGGGUGAGUAACACGUGGGCAACCUGCCCUUUAGUUUGGGAUAACUUCGGGAAACCGGAGCUAAUACCGAAUAAUACUUUUUCCUUCAUGGGAGAAAGUUGAAAGAUGGUUUACGCUAUCGCUAAAGGAUGGGCCCGCGGUGCAUUAGCUAGUUGGUGAGGUAACGGCUCACCAAGGCCACGAUGCAUAGCCGACCUGAGAGGGUGAUCGGCCACACUGGGACUGAGACACGGCCCAGACUCCUACGGGAGGCAGCAGUAGGGAAUCUUCCACAAUGGACGAAAGUCUGAUGGAGCAAUGCCGCGUGAGUGAAGAAGGAUUUCGGUUCGUAAAACUCUGUUGUAAGGGAAGAACAAGUAACGUAGUAACUGGCGUUACCAUGACGGUACCUUAUUAGAAAGCCACGGCUAACUACGUGCCAGCCGCCGC
RNAcentral lists this ribosomal RNA (513 nucleotides) under uncultured bacterium. RNAcentral's name for it is "bacterial SSU rRNA". It matches the Rfam family "Bacterial small subunit ribosomal RNA", at positions 28 to 518 of the family's 1533-position model. The record is from RNAcentral.